CCUACGGGUGGCAGCAGUGGGGAAUAUUGGGCAAUGGGCGCAAGCCUGACCCAGCAACGCCGCGUGAGGGAAGAAGGCUUUCGGGUUGUAAACUUCUGUUGUCAGGGACGAAGCAAGUGACGGUACCUGACGAGUAAGCAUCGGCUAGCUCCGUGCCAGCAGCCGCGGGAAUAUGGGGGGUGCAAGCGUUAUCCGGAUUGAUUGGGUUUAAAGGGUGCGUAGGCGGUGUGGGAAGUCAGCGGUGAAAUGCCCCCGCUCAACGGGGUGAAGUGCCAUUGAUACUGGCUUGCUGGAAUGCGGGUGCCGUGGGAGGAAUGUGUGGUGUAGCGGUGAAAUGCACAGAUAUCACACAGAACACCGAUGGCGAAGGCAUCUCACGAAUCCGCGACUGACGCUGAUGCACGAAAGCGUGGGUAUCAAACAGGAUUAGAUACCCCUGUAGUC
This 444-nucleotide ribosomal RNA is filed under the name uncultured bacterium. RNAcentral's name for it is "partial 16S ribosomal RNA". It matches the Rfam family "Bacterial small subunit ribosomal RNA", at positions 338 to 795 of the family's 1533-position model. The record is from RNAcentral.